RNAcentral lists this transfer-messenger RNA (85 nucleotides) under Betaproteobacteria bacterium. Its description in RNAcentral is "partial transfer-messenger RNA". It matches the Rfam family "transfer-messenger RNA", at positions 286 to 374 of the family's 374-position model. Rfam says of the family: Bacterial tmRNA, also known as 10Sa RNA or SsrA, is named for its dual tRNA and mRNA-like properties. The record is from RNAcentral. RNAcentral also lists the same sequence under 1 other name. Lineage: Bacteria; Pseudomonadati; Pseudomonadota; Betaproteobacteria.
CCAGCAAGAUCAAAGGCGGGAUACGCAUGUAGAUCUCAGGGCGUAGGGCUUGCGGACGCGGGUUCGAUUCCCGCCGCCUCCACCA